GUGGGGAAUAUUGGACAAUGGGCGCAAGCCUGAUCCAGCCAUGCCGCGUGAGUGAAGAAGGCCUUCGGGUUGUAAAGCUCUUUCAGAUGUGAAGAUGAUGACGGUAACAUCAGAAGAAGCUCCGGCUAACUUCGUGCCAGCAGCCGCGGUAAUACGAAGGGAGCGAGCGUUGUUCGGAAUCACUGGGCGUAAAGAGUGCGUAGGCGGUUAUACAAGUCAGGAGUGAAAUCCCAGGGCUCAACCCUGGAAUUGCUUUUGAAACUGUAUAGCUAGAGUCCCGGAGGGGUUAAUGGAAUUCCGAGUGUAGAGGUGAAAUUCGCAGAUAUUCGGAGGAACACCAGUGGCGAAGGCGAUUAACUGGACGGGCACUGACGCUGAGGCACGAAAGCGUGGGGAUCAAACAGGAUUAGAAACCCUAGUAGUCC
RNAcentral lists this ribosomal RNA (425 nucleotides) under uncultured bacterium. Its description in RNAcentral is "partial 16S ribosomal RNA". It matches the Rfam family "Bacterial small subunit ribosomal RNA", at positions 354 to 796 of the family's 1533-position model. The record is from RNAcentral.